RNAcentral lists this long non-coding RNA (234 nucleotides) under Brachypodium distachyon (stiff brome). RNAcentral's name for it is "long non-coding RNA (BDIS_LNC005771)". The record is from RNAcentral. Lineage: Eukaryota; Viridiplantae; Streptophyta; Magnoliopsida; Poales; Poaceae.
CAGUAUUUUAAUACUUUCAUGCAUCUUAAGGUCUCAUGAUCAUUUGUAAUCCAGCCUUGUUGUGGACUCAUGUAUAUACUAUCAAAUGACCACUGGGUAGAAACUUCAGUAAGGUCUCUCGGAUCAUCACUUUGGAUCAGGCACACAAAGAAAGGAAAACAUGCUAAAUACCAUAUCUGGUAUUUUGGUGCAUAAGGAGCCAAAACAACCUCGUACUGGUACAUUGUUGCAAAC